RNAcentral lists this ribosomal RNA (551 nucleotides) under uncultured Glomeromycotina. Its description in RNAcentral is "SSU rRNA". It matches the Rfam family "Eukaryotic small subunit ribosomal RNA", at positions 548 to 1098 of the family's 1831-position model. The record is from RNAcentral. Lineage: Eukaryota; Fungi; Glomeromycota.
UUGGAGGGCAAGUCUGGUGCCAGCAGCCGCGGUAAUUCCAGCUCCAAUAGCGUAUAUUAAAGUUGUUGCAGUUAAAAAGCUCGUAGUUGAACUUCGGGGUCUACCCAUUGGUCAGGCUUAAUUGUCUGCACUGGUGAGAUGGAUCUCUACCUUCUGAGGAACUUUCAUGCCAUUUAUUUGGUGUGGUUGGAAAUCAGGACUGUUACUUUGAAAAAAUUAGAGUGUUUAAAGCAGACUAUCGUCUGAAUACAUUAGCAUGGAAUAAUGAAAUAGGACGGACUGAUUCUAUUUCGUUGGUUUCUAGGAUCACCGUAAUGAUUAAUAGGGAUAGUUGGGGGCAUUAGUAUUCAAUUGUCAGAGGUGAAAUUCUUGGAUUUAUUGAAGACUAACUACUGCGAAAGCAUUUGCCAAGGAUGUUUUCAUUAAUCAAGAACGAAAGUUAGGGGAUCGAAGACGAUCAGAUACCGUCGUAGUCUUAACCAUAAACUAUGCCGACUAGGGAUCGGACGAAGUUAAUUUUAUAAUGACGCGUUCGGCGCCUUACGAGAAAC